This 1325-nucleotide ribosomal RNA is filed under the name human gut metagenome. RNAcentral describes it as "bacterial LSU rRNA". It matches the Rfam family "Bacterial large subunit ribosomal RNA", at positions 1100 to 2438 of the family's 2925-position model. The record is from RNAcentral.
GUUGGCUUGGAAGCAGCCAUUCAUUUAAAGAGUGCGUAACAGCUCACUAGUCGAGGAGUUUGGCGUGGAUAAUAAUCGGGCAUUAAGCAAUUUACCGAAGCUAUGGGAUCAGUAAUGAUCGGUAGGGGAGCAUUCCACUCUGCGUCGAAGGUGAAGCGUGAGCUUUGCUGGAGCGUGUGGAAAAGCAAAUGUAGGUAUAAGUAACGAUAAAGGGGGUGAGAAACCCCCUCGCCGAAAGACUAAGGUUUCCUGAUCAACGCUAAUCGGAUCAGGGUCAGUCGGGUCCUAAGGCUCAGCCGAACGGCGAUGCCGAUGGCAGAAACGGUUAAUAUUCCGUUACUACCUUCAGGAGUGACGUGGAGACGCAGUAGUGACAGUGCCGCCAUCUGACGGAAUAGAUGGUUGAAGGGUGUAGGAGUCGAUCAUGGCAGGCAAAUCCACCAUGAGAUCCGAACCUGACAGUAUGCCGCGUCCUUCGGGACAAGGCAAUAGUGCGCGUAAGCAUGCUGCCGAGAAAAUCCGCUAAACUUAAUCCUGCAGGUACCCGUACCGCAAACGGACACACGUAGUCGGGAUGAAUAUUCUAAGGCGCUUGAGUGAUUCACGGUUAAGGAACUAGGCAAACUGACCCUGUAACUUCGGGAUAAAGGGUCCCUACCCUUUUAUGGGAGGGCGCAGAGAAUCGGUCCAGGCAACUGUUUAACAAAAACACAGGGCUGUGCCAAAUCGAAAGAUCCAGUAUACAGCCUGACACCUGCCCGGUGCUGGAAGGUUAAGAGGAGAUGUCAUCGAUAAGAGAAGCGUUGAAUUGAAGCCCCAGUAAACGGCGGCCGUAACUAUAACGGUCCUAAGGUAGCGAAAUUCCUUGUCGGGUAAGUUCCGACCUGCACGAAUGGUGUAAUGAUCUGGACACUGUCUCAACCGUGAGCUCAGUGAAAUUGUAGUAUCGGUGAAGAUGCCGAUUACCCGCGAUGGGACGAAAAGACCCCGUGAACCUUUACUAUAGCUUAUCAUUGAAUCUGGGCACGUGAUGUGUAGGAUAGGUCGGAGGCUUUGAAGCAGGUACGCCAGUAUUUGUGGAGCCGCUGUUGAAAUACGACCCUUUAUUUGUUUGGAUUCUAACCCGUGGAUACGGGGACAUUGAUUGGUGGGUAGUUUGACUGGGGUGGUCGCCUCCAAAAGCGUAACGGAGGCUUCUAAAGGUGCCCUCCGGCCGAUUGGUAACCGGCCUUAGAGUGUAAUGGCAUAAGGGCGCUUGACUGGGAGACUAACAAGUCGAUCAGGUAGGAAACUAGAGCAUAGUGAUCCGGUGUUUCCGUAUGGAA